This is a long non-coding RNA of Peromyscus leucopus (white-footed mouse), 439 nucleotides long. RefSeq lists it as uncharacterized. Lineage: Eukaryota; Metazoa; Chordata; Mammalia; Rodentia; Cricetidae. The record is from RefSeq and is a predicted model, not a curated record. The transcript has 2 exons.
GCGAGGAGCAGGCUGCCCUUUGCUUCUUACAGCAGAGAGGUAGGCGAUACUAUCUGCAUCCAGUCUACACCUUAGGAAGAAAAGUUAGGGAACCGCCAUUUUCCUAGCCACCAGGCCCGUUCCUCCUGUAAGCCCCUCGGACUUAAAAAAUAACGAAAAUGGGAUGCGGUUCGCUUUCCAUUACUCUGGCCACUGAUGAAUUACACACUCAUUUCACCCCGUCGUCAUCAACUCUCGGGGAAGUUUAAAAGGACAAAAGAAGAAAGCGGAAUCGGCUGGCUUUCCGUGGUAUUUCCACGUGUACGUGGGGACUUUCCUUUGAGCCAAGGCUGAGGUCGGGGCCAAUAAUAGCUGGUAUCGCCUGACUGCUAAUACCAAGCUGAUGAGGAGGUGACUACCCCAGCAACCUCUGAUUAAACACAGCGGCACUCGCCCACCC